GUAAUACUCCCUCCAUCCGGAAAUACUUGUCGUGAAAAUGGAUAUAAAUAUAUGUAUCUAGAACUAAAAUACAUCUAGAUACAUUCAUUCCUCGGACAAGUAUUUCUGUACGGAGGGAGUAGUAA
This is a non-coding RNA of Triticum aestivum (bread wheat), 125 nucleotides long. The record is from Rfam. Lineage: Eukaryota; Viridiplantae; Streptophyta; Magnoliopsida; Poales; Poaceae.